This 705-nucleotide small RNA is filed under the name Pongo abelii (Sumatran orangutan). RNAcentral describes it as "processed transcript". The record is from RNAcentral. Lineage: Eukaryota; Metazoa; Chordata; Mammalia; Primates; Hominidae.
GAGGCGACCGUGGCCAUGCAGAGUGUUCUGUGAGUCACCGUUAAUUUCAGAUGGGGUAAGGUGAAGAGACGUUCCUUGGGAGCCCAGAGGAGUACAGGAUCUGAUCCCAAGCCCUUUACCAACAGUCCGCAUGACACAGCACUUGUGAGUGAGGCUGAGCAAGAGAAAUGAGACUUCUGCCUCACCCACUGCUACUGCAGGGCAGGAAAAACUCAGAACCAGCAAAGUGCCCACCCCAGAGGCUGCCAGAUUUGUGGAUGUUUCCUGAGGUCCUACUGUGUGCCAGCUGCGGCCAUGUUAGCUACCAGGAAUAUGAAGAUGAAUAAGGAGAUGACAAGUGAAAACAGAAACGCCAAGAUAAACUUGGCUGAGUUUCCCUUGGGAAUUCUCAGGAUCCUACCUGGUGCAGCAGAUCACACCAGGGAGAUGUUACUGGAUCUUUGAUGAGUGAAACAUCCACAGAGGAAGGAAGUAUGAAAAUGAGUGUGAAUGUCAACUCCUGCUAAAAGAAAUGCUUGAACGGCUUAACAAGGAAGCUGAUGAAGCCUUGCUGCAUAACCUACGCCUUCAGCUGGAAGCCCAAUUUCUGCAAGAUGACAUCAGUGCGGCAAAGGACAGGCACAAGAAGAAUCUUCUGGAAGUUCAGACCUAUAUCAGCAUCCUGCAGCAGAUCAUCCACACCACUCCUCCAGCAUCCAUUGUGAC